This 669-nucleotide ribosomal RNA is filed under the name Triticum aestivum (bread wheat). RNAcentral's name for it is "partial small subunit ribosomal RNA". Lineage: Eukaryota; Viridiplantae; Streptophyta; Magnoliopsida; Poales; Poaceae. The record is from RNAcentral.
AUGCUGCAGGCAGUAGGCAAGGUCAUCUCCGAAAAGUUAGCGCACCCAGACGCGAUCUGCCUCUCACUAGGCAGGGUUUGGUGCCCGAUUAAGGGGAUCAAGUGUAAGGAGAUCGGAGUAAAUCAGUUCCUCAUCACUUUUCAUCAAGAGUCUGGUAAGCGGAAGGCGAUCGAAGAUGGACCAUGGAUGUUUGAUAAAGAAGUUGUGGUGGUGGAGGACUAUGUACCGAGCAAGAGGCCAGAAGAUUAUGCCCAUAACAAUAUCCCAAUUUGGGUUAGGGUUUAUAACCUUCCUCUUGGCAUGAUGAACGUGGAAUCAGCAGAGGACAUCGGUAAUAUCAUUGGAGUGUUUGUGGAGGCGGACACGGGUGCGGAUGGAGUUGCAACCGGUAGAUUUUUGAGGGUGAAGAUAAGGAUGCAGAUUGACAGACCUAUUAUGAGAGGUUUCACGCUUGCUGGGGAGGAGGAAGGGGUAGACAAACAAGGCAAAGGGGGGGCUGCGAUGGAGAGUGGGGAAGAGGAAGAGGAUAGAGAUUGGUGUAGGCUGGAAUAUGAAUUUCUUCCUGAUUUCUGCUACUCAUGCGGGAUCAUCGGCCAUGUGGAGAAAGACUGCGAUAAGAAAGCUGUGAAGGGAGAAAGUCCACAGUUUGGAAGAUGGCUACGGGCGGAC